RNAcentral lists this long non-coding RNA (218 nucleotides) under Elaeis guineensis (African oil palm). RNAcentral describes it as "long non-coding RNA (EGUI_LNC045802)". The record is from RNAcentral. Lineage: Eukaryota; Viridiplantae; Streptophyta; Magnoliopsida; Arecales; Arecaceae.
CUAUUUUGCUAGAAAAAAAUGGGGAGAGCAAAAAGAAAAUGAAAAGAGAGAGAGAGAAUGAAAACAAAAUGAAAAUGAGACAAAGAAGAGAGCAAGAAAAAAGAAAUAAUGAAGAGAUCUCAUCCCCUAGUUGAUCUUUCUCUCUACCUAAACCAUCUUUUUCUUCUUUGUGUAUCCAAUGGGUGAAAUCCAAUAGAGGUUCCUAGAUUGGCAUUAUG